RNAcentral lists this ribosomal RNA (392 nucleotides) under uncultured bacterium. RNAcentral describes it as "partial 16S ribosomal RNA". It matches the Rfam family "Bacterial small subunit ribosomal RNA", at positions 523 to 917 of the family's 1533-position model. The record is from RNAcentral.
AUACGGAGGAUCCGAGCGUUAUCCGGAUUUAUUGGGUUUAAAGGGAGCGUAGGUGGAUUGUUAAGUCAGUUGUGAAAGUUUGCGGCUCAACCGUAAAAUUGCAGUUGAAACUGGCAGUCUUGAGUACAGUAGAGGUGGGCGGAAUUCGUGGUGUAGCGGUGAAAUGCUUAGAUAUCACGAAGAACUCCGAUUGCGAAGGCAGCUCACUAGACUGUUACUGACACUGAUGCUCGAAAGUGUGGGUAUCAAACAGGAUUAGAUACCCUGGUAGUCCACACAGUAAACGAUGAAUACUCGCUGUUUGCGAUAUACAGUAAGCGGCCAAGCGAAAGCAUUAAGUAUUCCACCUGGGGAGUACGCCGGCAACGGUGAAACUCAAAUGAAUUGGCGGG